RNAcentral lists this unclassified non-coding RNA (2790 nucleotides) under Hevea brasiliensis (rubber tree). The record is from RNAcentral. Lineage: Eukaryota; Viridiplantae; Streptophyta; Magnoliopsida; Malpighiales; Euphorbiaceae.
GUUAUUUUCAACUGAUAACAGAACUAAACUAUUUAUUUUUGUUGUUUUUGUUAUAAAUACAGGAAGCUGCAACUGUUGCGUUUGGGAUUAUAAAAUUUACUUUGGGUUUUUCUUUUUGUUUUCUUUUCAAUCGGGCGCAGGGAAGUGGGUCAUUAAGAAUUUUGUAGAUUUCUGUAUCAUUGGAAGUUAUUUCCAACUUUAGGAAUCGCGAUUGUUUGUAAUACUUUGAUGAUGAAGAGGGUUUUACUUCGUUGAAUUUUGUAUGUAACUUUGGGAAGAAUUUAGGUUUUUAGGAUUUUUCAAGGGACGGUUGAUUGCCUAUUUGGAGUGAACUAUAGUUGAGGACAAAAAAAAAAAGAAGCUGAUUUUCUUAUUGGUUAUUGUCCAAAGACAAGAGGGCUUUAUUGGGUUGUUUUGUUUUGAUUUUAUUCGAGAAGCUUUCAGUGUGAAUUCAAUGGUUGUGGGCUUUUUCCAUUUUUGUGAAUUUGGGGUCUGUGGAAUUCUCCUGAAGUGUAGAAGGGUUUUGACUUUAUGGGAAUAGAGAUUUUUUUUUGGCUCAUUUGGGAUUUUGCAAUUGAAUAUUAUUAGGGAACUGAAAAUUAUCAUAUUCAAUUAGUGAAUCUUGGAGACUAUUGAUGUUGCAGUUCUGAUUAGAGCUUGGAAUUUAGGAUGGAUGAAUCUCAGGGCAGUUCCAAUUCAUUGCCACCAUUCCUUUCGAAGACAUAUGAGAUGGUGGACGAUCCUUCCACAGAUUCAGUAGUUUCAUGGAGUCAGAGCAAUAAAAGCUUUAUCGUAUGGAAUCCACCAGAGUUUGCAAGGGAUUUGCUCCCAAGAUUCUUUAAGCACAAUAACUUCUCAAGCUUCAUCAGACAGCUCAAUACAUAUGGUUUUAGAAAGAUUGAUCCAGAACAAUGGGAAUUUGGGAAUGAAGAUUUUAUACGAGGUCAACCACACCUUAUGAAGAACAUUCACAGACGGAAGCCAGUUCACAGCCAUUCUAUGCAAAAUCUCCAAGGACAGGGUUCUAAUCCAUUAACCGAUUCAGAAAGACAGAGUUUGAAGGAUUACAUAGAGAGGCUUGAAGAAGAGAAACAAGUUCUUGUCUUGGAUUUACAGAGGCAUGAACAGGAGAAGCAAGGAUUUGAGAUGCAAAUGCAGGCAUUGAAGGAGAAAUUGCAACAGAUGGAGCGAAAGCAGCAAACGAUGGUGUCUUUUGUGGCCCGAGUCUUGCAGAAACCUGGGCUUGCUUUAGAUCUCAUGUCACAGCUGGAACCAGGCCAUGAUAGGAAGAGAAGGUUGCCAAGAAUUGGUUAUUUGUAUGAUGAGGCCAGUAUUGAGGAUAAUCAGAUGGUGACUUGUCAAGCUCUUGCUAGAGAAAAUGCGGACAGUAAUUCUGUUGCGCUGUCAAACGUGGAGCAGUUUGAGCAAUUGGAGUCGACUCUGAGAUUUUGGGAGAGUAUUGUUAAUGAUGUCCAAACCAACAUUCAAAGCAAUUCAAUCUUAGAGUUGGAUGAAUCUACAAGUUGUGCUGAAAGCCUGGCCAUAUCUUGUGUACAAUUUAGUGCUGAUAAUCGGCCCAAGUCUCCUGCUAUUGACAUGAAUUCUGAGCCUGCUGUAGCUUCAGCUACAGAGUCUGAUCCUCCGAAGGAACCAGCAACUGGGACUGCUCCUGUGGCAGCUGGAGUCAAUGAUGUAUUCUGGGAACAGUUUUUGACUGAGAAUCCUGGUUCAACUGAUACACAGGAAGUUCAAUCUGAAAGAAAGGAUUCUGGUGAUAGAAAAAAUGAGAUCAAACCCAGUGAGCAGGGCACAUUUUGGUGGAAUAUGAGGAAUGUAAAUAAUCUUGCUGAACAGAUGGGGCAUCUUACUCCUGCAGAGAGAACUUGAAAUUUGCUUGAUUGUUUUUUCGGGCUUUUGGUGCCUCUUGAGCCUCACGUGUAAUAAAUUAGGAAGGGUGUUAAGAAGUGCAAUUUCACUGUUGCUCUAUGCAUUCAAAAGGGAGAGGAGGAGGAGGCAGCCAUGCUAUAAUCUAUGUGAUUUAGAAUCUUCUGCUGAUGCAUGGAGCUCUUGGAGUUUAAUUCUCAGGACUGGUACUGAUUAUGUGAAAUUGUCAUCUGAGAAAAUUGUAGUUGGGAAUUAGGAUCAAAUGGGGUCGUCUAGCAUGCUAUAAUAGGACUAAUUUUAGCAACUCGAUAACACAUGGAUUCUGGGAAUUGAAAGGUUUACAAAUAUUCUGUGCUUUGCUGCCUAUCACCUUAGGGGCUGAAUGCAGGAUAAAUCAUUGCACAUCACCUAUAUUCCUAAGACCCGUAUUGGCUCUUACUAGUUACUACUAGUACUUUUUUGUCUUCGCUAGCUGGAAAAUACUUGUAAUGUAAAUUCAAUCUCAGAGAAAAAAAAAAUGUAAUAUAAUUGAGUCAGUUCCCCUAGCUAAAGUUACAAUAAACAUUGGUCUUGUACUGUCUAGACUCUCCUCCUCGAUUGUACAUUUCUUGCUUCUAAGAGCCUAUCUUGAAGAUGAUGGCGAAGAUGGAAGUACACAGGCACAUCGUUGUUUGCAUACUAUACGACAAUUUCUUGAAGUUGUUCAUGGACAGUCGGUUAGUUAAGUAAUUCUCCUUAUGCGCUGAAAUUGAAGCAUGAUAUUAGAAUAUAACCUAUCUACGGGAAACUUACAUGUUUCCUUACCGUUAGCAAAGAUGUGGUUGAUUUCUAGUAACACUCUUGAUUGUCGAAUUCAGUAUCAAAACUAGCUUGGUUCAGAUUGAACCAUACUUGCCGGAAUACCCU